Long non-coding RNA from Aethalodelphis obliquidens (Pacific white-sided dolphin), 2912 nucleotides. RefSeq lists it as uncharacterized. The transcript has 6 exons. The record is from RefSeq and is a predicted model, not a curated record. NCBI's taxonomy places the organism in Eukaryota, Metazoa, Chordata, Mammalia, Artiodactyla, Delphinidae.
CUCUUUCCUAGCUGCUGGGGAUAGGAAUUGGAAUCAGAGCCGGGCCUGAUGGGAGAGGCAGACCCGUGUGAGCGAACAGCCACAUACAGCAUGAGCCAUAGAUCGGUUCGUUUACCCAAAAAAUUCACCGAGCUCCAUGUUUGCCAGGACACUUGCCAUUGGAUUUAGGGCCCACUCAGGCAAUCCAGGAUGGUUUCAUCACAAGAUCCUUAAAUAUGCAAAAACUCCUUUUCCAAAAACUUACUCCAUGAUAUAAGGAGUCCUAAGAAGAAACUUCUAGGAGCUGUGAGUGAGUGGGGACCAAGGGGAAUGGAAUGGAAGGAACAUCAAAGGUUUGGGAUUGGUUGUAUGUUUACUAUGAUGACAGAGGUGAGGAACACAGGUGGUCAUAGGAUAAAACAAUUGUUCUGGUACAGUAAUUGGAAAUGUCCACCAGGCAAAUGCAAAAUACCAUCUGGGAAAAUAAGUAAAUAUAGUAGUAGAAGUAAUUGGAGAGGCCAGUCAUGAAAAUUAAAAAGAAAACAACAAAGUAAAAAGAAUAUAAAAAAAAAAAAAAAAGAAUAUAAACUGGGUUAUUUGAAGAAAGGAUUGUAAUAUGUAACCCUGACGUUAUCAUUUCAAAAAUUAUUGUUUAACUUCAGCUAGGAAGACAAAAGCACCGUGAGUUCUUAUAUCCAAACAUAAAUUCUUGAAGCCAAACAGAUAUGCCUAAAGUAUUCCUCAAAGAUUCCACUGACUUUCUCUUUAAAAGCCCCAUGUUAUCACAGAGAUGCGUGAAUACAUAUAUGUACCAAGAACAAACAUAUUGGCAACUAAUGUUUUGAACCUUCAUCUACUCAGGCCUGCUUUUCUGAAAUAGGUUAUGAAGUUUCCCGUCAGGAGAGAUGGAUACGAAAAAGUCCAUCUGUUUAGGUCCUCAACCCAAGUAGCAAAGAAUUAAUUAUUCAGAUCGGAAAGAGGUGAGGUCAAUUGACGCUAACCCAGACAUUAAGGACUGCCUGCCCCAAGGAAGGCAACGCUUUUGACCGUAUCCCCUUGAAACAGCUAUGAUGUAUUUUCUUUCCUCUUCUCCUGGAAGCUGACGCCUAUGUAUGUUGAUGUCUAUGUAUGUUUAGAAUUUCUCAGGUAUUUGGCUUGACCAAGGCCAGUUGUGACUUGGGGCCUUGCUGCCAUGCUUGGUACUACAGGUGUUUCCAAUUAGGGCUUCAUUAGGGUGCAGGCGUGGUUAAGGCUUUGGAUCACAGGACCAGGCAAACAGAGCUGUGAGGGGCUUAGGCUUAGCUGAGGAAAGAAAGGCGAAAGGGUGGUCUCCAAACUAGAGAGCUGACUGCCAUUCUAACCUUGACUCCCCCAAUCCAGCGCCCCCUCAAGCUUGGGCCACACCCUAGAGCCUGGUUUUCAAACCACAGCCACCCUGUCCCCUUCCAGUUUCAGGAAAUCAGUUUAGUUGAUUCUUGCCAGCAUGGAAAACAAAGCAAAGCAAAAAAAAUGAACAAGCCAAAACAAAUCACUAAAGAGCAACAGAACGGGAAGGACCAGGCUGUCCUGCAUGGUAAAGAUUGGAGGCUCCUGGGCUGGAGAGGGACAGAAGAGAUCCUGGCGUGGAGCUCUGUGGAGUACGUGCUUGAGAAAUAACUAUUUGAACCUGACAAACAUUUGAUCUGUCGACGUGGCCCCUGCGUUCUUCCCCGAUCUAAGAUGAAGAAACGGGGGCACUGAGAGAUGGCCCAAGGGCCCCCAGCUGACUAUGCCCCCUGGGAAUAAGAACCAACUCUCCUGACCCAAGACCAAUGCUCUUCCCUUUUGCCUCCAUCCUCAGCUUGCCCCCAGUUGGAAAUGAGCUGCUGCCAUCCGAUUUUGAAGUCUAUCAUUUCUUCCCUUUGCGAUCAGUUUGUAUUGAUUUUCUUACGAGUACAAAAUAAAUUGUUCAACACUAUUCCUGUACCAACUUGUGCCAGCAGUAAUGGUACCUAAGAUGUAGAAAGGGUUAAUUUACCAGUUGGUGACUUCGGAGUGGUCUAGAGUUGACCUCAUCAACUCUGUGGUCCUUAAGCACUCAGGACACUUCCUACUUUAAUGCGCACGAGAGUCAGCUGGGAAUCUUGUGAAAAUGCAGGUUCCGAUUCAAGAUGCCUAGCUGGGGACCGAGAUUCUGCGUUUCCAACAAGCAGUCCGGUGACGCUCAUAUUACUGGUCCAUGGACCACACUUGAGUAGCGAGGGUCUAGGCGCCUCUGCUCCACUUUGCUCAGCACAACUGCAAGAGAAACCUCAGAGUCAAAGCUGGCAUUUCCUUUCUUCCCUUCCCUAUUGCCCUACUCCCCUCCUUUGGAAGAAUCCAGCUUAAAAAAAGAAAACGUUAUGAAACACGAGUGCGAAGCCUGAAUUACAGUGUUAGGCACGUAAUUAUCUGGGCAAAAAACAGAUGUUUCAGACUCGGGGUUAGCUCAGCCCGCUGCCGGGGCCACAUGGUAAAGUCUCUUGAUGGAAGAGCCAACCAAGGCCACACAGUUUAUGCCAAGAGAAAAAGGGGUGCGUGUGUCUGAAACUCGGGGAGGGAAGUGAGUAAGGGUUACCGUUGCAUAAAUAAUAUAGGAAGCGUCUCCCCGCCAGACUGCAAGCUGAGACUCCUGCGUGCUAAUCUCGGGUGCAAGGGUGACUCGGUCUGCGUCUGCAAAUGAAAGCUUGCAUCCUUGGCUGGGAAAUAAUAAUAGGAAAAAGCCUGCCCCAUGCUGGAGCUUUUCCUCUGUGAGGAGCUGCCGCUAUCCACUGUUAAGAUCCUUUGAUUGAGCCAUCCUGAAGGAAGGCGCAAGCGUGAACUGGGACUUGGUUUGGGAAAGGUGGCAGAAACAGUCUGUAGAGAGCAGGAUUCUUUAUUUUUUUAAUUAAAAAAAAUUUUUUUAAACAUCUUUA